Molecule: long non-coding RNA, 1078 nt
Filed under: Macaca fascicularis (crab-eating macaque)
Lineage: Eukaryota; Metazoa; Chordata; Mammalia; Primates; Cercopithecidae
Description: lncRNA (ENSMFAG00000061639.1)
Source: RNAcentral
GACCGUCUGGCGGAUGCGCAGGAAGCGGCCGCGCUGGUUCUCCUUGAGAUCCAUGUAGUACUUGCGGUUCUCGCGCACCAGGAACUCGCUCUUGAGCGCCCGGCGCGGCUCGUCCUGUGCCUGGGCCAGGUCCGGCGGCUGGCUGGGGCCCAGCUGCGCGUAGUGCUCGAUGAAGUCGCCCAGGUAGUCGCGGAACUCCACGGCCACUGACAUGGAGAGAGUGAGGCGGCUCUUGUUGCCGCCCGCGCCCACCUCGGCGAUCUUCAGGAAGCGGCCCUUGGCGUUCUGCUUCACGUCCAGUCCACCAAAAGAUGUCAAACCAAAUCCAGCCUAUUGUAAAGCUCUGGGACCUCCCUUCCAAGGACACCGAACACAAACAUAGACACCGCUGCGAAAAGCUGUCCAAAAGCGCCUGGCCGGCCAGAAAUGGAGUGUCAGCCACGUCUAGCGCACAGUCCCAGGCCCCAGGGCGAAGGCGGCCAGGGGAAAUGGGGCUCAGGGAUUGCUAAGGAAACGCAUCACUGGUGGUCUCCAGCGCCUGCGGAGGGACGGGACUUCACCGUGUUAGCCAGGAUGGUCUCGAUCUCCUGACCUCAUGAUCCGCCCACCUUGGCCUCCCAGAGUGCUGAGAUUACAGGCGUGAGCCACUGUGCCCAGUCAUAGCUGGAACUUUCAUACAUUCUGAUGGGAAUGCAAAAUCAUAUAACCAUUUCAGGGAACAGUUUGGUAAUUUCCUAUAAAGUUAAACAUAAGUAUUUAAGUUUAUGAGAGGAAAUUGGAGAAGCAGGCAUGGGCCAGGUCAUUCUAAGUGUUGUGGUAAAAUGUUUGGAUAUUAUUCUUUCUCAUAUGAAGUCACUGAAGGAUUUUUGUUUGUUUCUUUGUUUUUGAGACAAGGUCUUGUCUUGUUGCCCAGGCUGGAGUGCAGUGGCCCAAUCUUGGCUCACUGCAGCUCGACCUCCUGGGCUUCAGUGAUUCUUUCAUCUAAGCUUCCUGAGUAGCCGAGACUACAGGCAUGCACCACCAUGCCCAGCUAUUUUUUUUUUUUUUAAUUUAAUAGAGACGGGGUCUCCCUAUGUUG